UAGGGAAUCUUCCGCAAUGGGCGAAAGCCUGACGGAGCAACGCCGCGUGAGUGAUGAAGGUCUUCGGAUCGUAAAACUCUGUUAUUAGGGAAGAACAAAUGUGUAAGUAACUAUGCACGUCUUGACGGUACCUAAUCAGAAAGCCACGGCUAACUACGUGCCAGCAGCCGCGGUAAUACGUAGGUGGCAAGCGUUAUCCGGAAUUAUUGGGCGUAAAGCGCGCGUAGGCGGUUUUUUAAGUCUGAUUUGAAAGCACACGGCUCAACCGUGGAGGGUCAUUGGAAACUGGAAAACUUGAGUGCAGAAGAGGAAAGUGGAAUUCCAUGUGUAGCGGUGAAAGGCGCAGAGAUAUGGAGGAACACCAGUGGCGAAGGCGACUUUCUGGUCUGUAACUGACGCUGAUGUGCGAAAGCGUGGGGAUCAAACAGG
This 429-nucleotide ribosomal RNA is filed under the name Actinomycetes bacterium. RNAcentral describes it as "Actinobacteria bacterium partial 16S ribosomal RNA". It matches the Rfam family "Bacterial small subunit ribosomal RNA", at positions 355 to 776 of the family's 1533-position model. Lineage: Bacteria; Bacillati; Actinomycetota; Actinomycetes. The record is from RNAcentral.